GAAAACCCUAAAUCCAUCCCCCUUUUCCUAUUAUAAAUAUUCUCAAUCACAAUCAAUCUAUGCCAAAACAAUAGAUAGAGAAUGAUGAAAGAGAAAAAGCAUAGAAGAUGAAAGCAUGAGAUCUGGAAAUUUGUAUGUUCUCUUUGCAAAAUUGGUGUGAUCAUAUGCACCACUAUCAAGGAGGCUUACCUCUUUCUUCAAAAGAGACUUUUCACUCUUUUCCAUCUCAAUAUCAUAUCUUCUUGAUUCUUUCUACUCAAGCUUGAAAAAGGCUAGAUCCAGUCCUUCAACCCCAUUGGUAGGCUUUAUGUUGAAAAGGAGGAAUUAUCAUAAUAGUUAUAAAAGGUCAUGGGCAUGCCCAACUUCAGUUUUUCAAAGAUCCUGUGUGUAGUGGGUUAAGGGGAGUGUAGCGGUAUCCUACCUCUUUCUUUGGUUAUACAUUGGUUUAAGGUUUGUUUGUUUACCCGACAACUUUACCUCACUCCACUUUAAGUUUCUUUCUAAAUACGACUUUCAACUUUGAUAUUUUAUUCACUUUAACCUAUUCUGAAGACGUAUUAGCUUAUUGCGAUACAACAUAAGGGUCGGUAUGUAUUAGAAAGUUUAUUUUGGCUAUGAAGUUUAGGAAGUAAUCUUCACCCAUAGUUAUUAAAGGCGCUAGGCGCACUCAAGGCGCAUAGGCCUCGCCUGGGGCCUAGGCGCAAAGCGCAAAAAAAGUAAGGGUCGGAGAAAAAUAAACCGC
This 742-nucleotide long non-coding RNA is filed under the name Helianthus annuus (common sunflower). Its description in RNAcentral is "hypothetical non coding rna". Lineage: Eukaryota; Viridiplantae; Streptophyta; Magnoliopsida; Asterales; Asteraceae. The record is from RNAcentral.